AGUCGACGGCAGCGCGGACUUCGGUCUGGCGGCGAGUGGCGAACGGGUGAGUAAUAUAUCGGAACGUACCCAGGAGUGGGGGAUAACGUAGCGAAAGUUACGCUAAUACCGCAUACGUCCUAAGGGAGAAAGCAGGGGAUCGCAAGACCUUGUGCUCAUGGAGCGGCCGAUAUCUGAUUAGCUAGUUGGUGGGGUAAAAGCCUACCAAGGCAACGAUCAGUAGCUGGUCUGAGAGGACGACCAGCCACACUGGAACUGAGACACGGUCCAGACUCCUACGGGAGGCAGCAGUGGGGAAUUUUGGACAAUGGGGGCAACCCUGAUCCAGCAAUGCCGCGUGAGUGAAGAAGGCCCUCGGGUUGUAAAGCUCUUUUGUCAGGGAAGAAAAGGCUGUGGCUAAUAUCCACGGCUCAUGACGGUACCUGAAGAAUAAGCACCGGCUAACUACGUGCCAGCAGCCGCGGUAAUACGUAGGGUGCAAGCGUUAAUCGGAAUUACUGGGCGUAAAGCGUGCGCAGGCGGUUUUGUAAGACUGUCGUGAAAUCCCCGGGCUUAACCUGGGAAUGGCGAUGGUGACUGCAAGGCUAGAGUUUGGCAGAGGGGGGUAGAAUUCCACGUGUAGCAGUGAAAUGCGUAGAUAUGUGGAGGAACACCGAUGGCGAAGGCAGCCCCCUGGGUCAAAACUGACGCUCAUGCACGAAAGCGUGGGGAGCAAACAGGAUUAGAUACCCUGGUAGUCCACGCCCUAAACGAUGUCAACUAGUUGUCGGGUCUUAAUUGACUUGGUAACGCAGUAACGCGUGAAGUUGACCGCCUGGGGAGUACGGUCGCAAGAUUAAAACUCAAAGGAAUUGACGG
Molecule: ribosomal RNA, 858 nt
Filed under: uncultured bacterium
Lineage: Bacteria
Description: bacterial SSU rRNA
Rfam family: Bacterial small subunit ribosomal RNA
Source: RNAcentral